RNAcentral lists this transfer RNA (37 nucleotides) under Crocidura batakorum (Batak shrew). RNAcentral describes it as "partial tRNA-Thr". Lineage: Eukaryota; Metazoa; Chordata; Mammalia; Eulipotyphla; Soricidae. The record is from RNAcentral.
AUAAAGCCUUAGUAGUAUAAUCAAUAUACUGGUCUUG